Molecule: ribosomal RNA, 816 nt
Filed under: Triticum aestivum (bread wheat)
Lineage: Eukaryota; Viridiplantae; Streptophyta; Magnoliopsida; Poales; Poaceae
Description: partial small subunit ribosomal RNA
Source: RNAcentral
AUGGCUUUGCGAGGAGGGACAUGGGAGAACAAAGGACCACAUAUACCAAAGGCAGAAAGCCAGCUGUUUGACAUGACUACUUUGUACUAUCCCAAGGAUGGAUUCACCGUGAUUCAGUUUACUCUGAAAAUCCAGCAGCCACAUGUUGCUAUCUGCGUGCUACAUCGGAAAGGCUAUCCUAAUGUCAAUCGGGACUUACUGACGUCCGCUUGCGAGAGUGUUGGCCGUAGUGCUCCUCUUGAGGAAUUUUUGAUGAGCCCGUGUACUAAUUGGCUUUUUAAUGACACCCGGUCAUAUGAAACGCCGACCAUGAGUGACGGAUGUAAUUAUACUCCUGAGAACUCCAUGAUUUGUCCAUCCUACUACCCUUAUCCUAUGAAUGACAUCUUGUAUGAUAUGCCCACGAGUUUUGGAUACGCUAAUGCUCCUUCUGGAAACUCUCUGAUGAGUCAAGACAACACUUGGUAUACAGACAUGCUUCCCCAACCGGAUCCUCCUGCUCAUCAGAUGUCAAUGCAGAAUGACUUGUCCAUUACUUCGUUUGGGAAUAGCAUGAAUUCUUUUACACCCAACCAGAAUGCCACGAUUGGUGGCUAUGAGCCACGACAACCCGAUACUACUUCUGCUUGGGUUGACCAUUUGAUGGGAAUUACACAUGAUUAUGCUCCAGAUAAACCUUUUCCAUAUCCUAUGCCUUGGGAACACAAUUCAUCUUUUGAGACUAAUCACAGUGAGACAUGGCUGGAAACUUCUCCUCCGGGUGAGCAUUAUUGGCCAACCGAACAUAAUUAUUUUCAAGAUGAGCAAUUCAACUAG